CGAACGGGUGAGUAACACGUGGGCAAUCUGCCCUGCACUCUGGGACAAGCCCUGGAAACGGGGUCUAAUACCGGAUACUGACCCGCCUGGGCAUCCAGGCGGUUCGAAAGCUCCGGCGGUGCAGGAUGAGCCCGCGGCCUAUCAGCUUGUUGGUGAGGUAACGGCUCACCAAGGCGACGACGGGUAGCCGGCCUGAGAGGGCGACCGGCCACACUGGGACUGAGACACGGCCCAGACUCCUACGGGAGGCAGCAGUGGGGAAUAUUGCACAAUGGGCGAAAGCCUGAUGCAGCGACGCCGCGUGAGGGAUGACGGCCUUCGGGUUGUAAACCUCUUUCAGCAGGGAAGAAGCGCAAGUGACGGUACCUGCAGAAGAAGCGCCGGCUAACUACGUGCCAGCAGCCGCGGUAAUACGUAGGGCGCGAGCGUUGUCCGGAAUUAUUGGGCGUAAAGAGCUCGUAGGCGGCUUGUCGCGUCGGUUGUGAAAGCCCGGGGCUUAACCCCGGGUCUGCAGUCGAUACGGGCAGGCUAGAGUUCGGUAGGGGAGAUCGGAAUUCCUGGUGUAGCGGUGAAAUGCGCAGAUAUCAGGAGGAACACCGGUGGCGAAGGCGGAUCUCUGGGCCGAUACUGACGCUGAGGAGCGAAAGCGUGGGGAGCGAACAGGAUUAGAUACCCUGGUAGUCCA
Molecule: ribosomal RNA, 685 nt
Filed under: Streptomyces sp. MC_MPS_4b
Lineage: Bacteria; Bacillati; Actinomycetota; Actinomycetes; Kitasatosporales; Streptomycetaceae
Description: bacterial SSU rRNA
Rfam family: Bacterial small subunit ribosomal RNA
Source: RNAcentral